Molecule: ribosomal RNA, 502 nt
Filed under: uncultured bacterium
Lineage: Bacteria
Description: partial 16S ribosomal RNA
Rfam family: Bacterial small subunit ribosomal RNA
Source: RNAcentral
AUUGAACGCUGGCGGAAUGCUUUACACAUGCAAGUCGAACGGCAGCACGGGAGCCUGCUCCUGGUGGCGAGUGGCGAACGGGUGAGUAAUAUUUCGGAACGUAUCCAAUAACGGGGGAUAACUAAUCGAAAGGUUGGCUAAUACCGCAUACGCCCUGAGGGGGAAAGCUGGGGAUCUUCGGACCUAGCGUUAAUGGAGCGGCCGAUAUCUGAUUAGCUAGUUGGUGAGGUAAAAGCUCACCAAGGCGACGAUCAGUAGCUGGUCUGAGAGGACGACCAGCCACACUGGAACUGAGACACGGUCCAGACUCCUACGGGAGGCAGCAGUGGGGAAUUUUGGACAAUGGGGGAAACCCUGAUCCAGCCAUUCCGCGUGAGUGAAGAAGGCCUUCGGGUUGCAAAGCUCUUUCGCAAGGGAAGAAACGUUACCGGUGAAUAUCCGGUGAUAAUGACGGUACCUUGAUAAGAAGCACCGGCUAACUACGUGCCAGCCGCCGCAGUAA